ACAGGCUUAUCACACUGCCCACAGCCUGCUCUGCAGGGUUUGCUCUGCAGGGCUCAUGGCAGCCAGGCCAGGGCUGAGCCACGUUUGGGGUUAAACGUGGCCAUGGCACCAAACAGAGAGUGCAGAGGAGCACAGUUCUGGGGUGUCAGUGUGCUCUGGGGACACGGGGUUUGGAUUCUGCUGUUGCCAUGAGCUCCCAGGUGCUGGUCAGAGCCUCACACCUGGGCUCACGCCAGGUCUCGCCCCUGGCUGGGCAGGUUGGCUUGGCUGUUGUUCAGGGGUCCCUGUGUGAGGGUCAGAGAUGGCCGUGGUGUCUCUGAGCUGAAGCCCCUCUGAGCAGACUUGUGUUCCACCUGGGCCCUACUGCCACCUUUGUUUUUGUGUCAAACUGCUCUGCUCUGCUCUGCCAGCACAAGAAGUUUUUACACACACUUAGAGAGAAUGUGAGCCAAAGCCAGGCUGGGUCCUGCCCAGCCUGAGGGGCACAGGGAGGGAACAGAUGUUCACUCCAAAGCAAAAUCAUUCCUGAGCUUGAAUCUGCACUAAUGGCUCUGGCCCUGCAUCGAGGACUUCAAAGCAAAAGGAAUUUUUUUGAAUAGUUCCAGCUCAGGUGUAACUGAAAUCCCAUUUUACAGACUAUUUCCACAGACUGCAUGUUUGUGAAGCCCAGGAAACAGGACUCACUUUUCUGCAGCAAACUGGAGCCUGGCUGAGUGUGCUGAUGCCACGUGGAUUUUCCCUGAGCUUACCUUGGUGAGGUAAAGCUCUGAGCUCAAAUUCCUGGUGAAAUAAAUUUACACACGGUGUGAAACCCCUUCCAUCUGUUCUGGAGCCGUGUGAGGGGCUGCCAGAGCUGUUUGCCACCCUUGGUAUGGCUGAAGCAGGCACUGAGUAGUGCAGAUCAACAGCACUGCUGUGUUAUUGUGACCCUCCUGAUUGAAGGAAUGGCCCUUGAGAUGCCUGUGGACUUCAGACACAGCUGCCACAAACAAGCAAAAAGGAAACCUUCAGCAGCUCCCCUGAGCAGCCAUGGAGAGCUUGGAGCAGAGUUGUGGGGUGGAUUUGCCACAGAGGCUGUGCUGGCCCUGCACUGUCUGAUGUGGAGCCACAGCAGGAGCCCCAGGUGCAGAGGAGGUGCCCACCUGGGCUGUCGUGGUGUGUGUCACCUCCUGAAGGAUGGCUCCAUCCUCCCCAGGGCUGACCUGCCUGGUCCCUGCAUAGGAGGGGAUACUCACACCUGUGAACCAGCUCUGCGAAACCCCAGCUCAGCUGCUGCUGCUUCAAGCCAGAAGACCCCAAACCUGAUGGUUUUGAUGUAACAAAGAUGAUUUCACUGAUGAAAUUGGCCUGAAACUGGCCAUUGUUGGCCUGAUGGAGGUGCAUUUCAAUAAAGGUAGGCUCCUGGAUGUAUGGCUUUCCCUUCAGAUUUUAUUUCAGGACUGAUUUGCUCAGAAGUGUGGGGCAUUGCUUCCUGCUUGCAUGUCUGUCUGGCAUCCACAGGUGCUGAACGUGGAAGUGCCUAAAUGGGCUUUUCCUCAAAGUGCUCUAGCAGGGCUCCUAUAAACUGGGAGUUUGGAGUAACAGCCACAAGUCAUUGCAUAGAACCCAUUUCAG
Molecule: long non-coding RNA, 1614 nt
Filed under: Taeniopygia guttata (zebra finch)
Lineage: Eukaryota; Metazoa; Chordata; Aves; Passeriformes; Estrildidae
Description: lncRNA (ENSTGUG00000028274.1)
Source: RNAcentral